RNAcentral lists this ribosomal RNA (443 nucleotides) under uncultured bacterium. Its description in RNAcentral is "partial 16S ribosomal RNA". It matches the Rfam family "Bacterial small subunit ribosomal RNA", at positions 338 to 795 of the family's 1533-position model. The record is from RNAcentral.
CCUACGGGAGGCAGCAGUGGGGAAUAUUGGGCAAUGGGCGCAAGCCUGACCCCGCAACGCCGCGUGAAGGAAGAAGGCUUUCGGGUUGUAAACUUCUUUUCUCAGGGACGAAGCAAGUGACGGUACCUGAGGAAUAAGCCACUGCUAACUACGUGCCAGCAGCCGCGGGAAUACGUAGGUGGCAAGCGUUAUCCGGAUUUACUGGGUGUAAGGGGAGUGUAGGCGGGAAAGCAAGUCAGAUGUGAAAACCAUGGGCUCAACCUGUGGCCUGCAUUUGAAACUGUUUUUCUUGAGUACUGGAGAGGCAGACGGAAGUCCUAGGGUAGCGGUGAAAGGCGUAGAUAUUAGGAGGAACACCAGUGGCGAAGGCGGUCUGCUGGACAGCAACUGACGCUGAGGCGCGAAAGCGUGGGGAGCAAACAGGAUUAGAUACCCUAGUAGUC